Populus trichocarpa (black cottonwood) is the source of this 1372-nucleotide long non-coding RNA. RefSeq lists it as uncharacterized. The record is from RefSeq and is a predicted model, not a curated record. NCBI's taxonomy places the organism in Eukaryota, Viridiplantae, Streptophyta, Magnoliopsida, Malpighiales, Salicaceae. The transcript has 6 exons.
UGCUGUCAAAUUUUUUUUUAACAUUUGAAUUUAAUUAUAUAAUUAUUUGUAUAAAAUUGUGUAGAUGCGUAGAAUGAAAUCCAGUGCUGGUCGCUCACGUACGGUCGCAGCUUGUUCGUCUAGCAGCGAUGAUGAUAUUUUCUUAGGUGCCUCUCAAGAAGAGGCACCUACACCACCUGCGCCGUCAACCGAUGCUGCCUCUUCCAGCGCUACUUCACAGCGUAAAGGCGGGGUGCCUUCGCAGCGGAAUCAAUUUUCCCGCAAGUACGAGGCAUAGUGGAAGGACGACCUUUCAAUUUCACAAACAUUGAGGCCGCCCGAGUAAUAUCAUCGGCGUUUAAAUCAUUGAUGGAGAUUCCAUUAUUUCAAUGGAGUCAGAUAUCCAAGCAUCUUGAAUGGAUGCCUCAAAUCAAUGCAUGGUUUGACAGAUUUCAGCACAAAUUCUGCUGGGACAGUGAGCAUAACACUGUUGUGAGGAGGGUGUGGGAAAAUCACGCGGCAAUUAGGUUGCGUGAUUUUUGGUAUGAAGCAUAAAAAAGGGCAAAAAAAACCGCGAGGGAUAGGGGUUUCCAAGGCUGGAACGAUGUUGCGGUUUGGAGGGAUUUCAAACCGAUAUACAUCUCGGAAGAUAUAUGGCCGCACUAUCUUGAGCACGUGACAUCUGAGCGGUUCACACGACGCUCACAAUUCGGUGAUGGCAACCGGAAUCGGCCAAUUCAUGGCUCGGUGACAACGCACACUGGCGGCUCCGUUCUGUUUGCUGCACAUACAAAACGGAUGGCUGCGUCUCUUGGACGUGAGCCGAGCCCGAUGGAGCUGUCUGUGGAGACACACGUGCGGAGUCAAGACCGCCAAAAGGGGGCGCAAUAGUUCGUUGAUAACCGUGCUCAACAUUUCGUGGAGACCUAUAAUAAUCGGUUGAGGAAGAGAUACGGGGAUGAUAUUUUGACCCAUCCGGAAUUCGAUCCGGAUUUGUGGAUGGAGGUUGGAUCGUCAGGUGGACCCGAUAAAAAUCAGGUUUACGGGCUCUCCAACACUACGGCCGACAACUUGCGGUCGACCCGUAGUGUUUCAACUGUUGGGAGCUCCCAAUCAAUAUCGAGCUCCCAAUCUAAGGAGUUCGUGGCCUUGCAGCAACACACGGCUCAGCUCACCGAAAAAUACGACCACCUAUCAGCGGAGUACGCACAACUCAAAGCGUCUCAUGCAGAACAAAGAGCGGAGUACUAAGAGCUUCGCGAAAUGGUCAUGAACAUGGCAACACAGAGUGGAACGUGUGCGCCUAAUCCUUUUUGGCCGCAUAACCGCCAGCCUCCUCCAGGACCUCCUCCUCCUCCAGCUCCACCUUUAUAUUAAUUUGUAAUAAACAUUA